UUUCUUACUUCUCUCUUCAGCUAUGGCAGACAUGAUACUGUCAGCAUCUGGGUGCCCACAUAAACAGCUGUCUACAGGAAACAAGGCAGGAGGCCCAUAUUAAAUAAUGAAGAUAGAAUACAUUAAUUACACCAUGGAUGUUAUAUUCCCUCUUAUAAUUUCUGAGUACAAAUAUGAGAAUGGAUCUAAAAGAGGAAGGAGAAAGAGAGUUGACAGAUUGAAACUAUGGAAGGGUCUUGCAUUGCCUGGUAUGGAGUUGAAGAGACAAAGAGUGAAGCUGGAGCCAUCAUGAAUUGGAAAUAGUGUUUUAUUUCCACACAUCCCUAGGUCUCUAAAUGAAAAACAAAAACAGUUUUGAGGCAAUGUUUCACCCGUGACUGCUUGCUGAGACACCUAGUUCAGAAAUUCAUGAACAACCUCCUCUUGCCACCACAGCAUGUUGGACCAUCUUGAGCAUUUUCUACAUCUCUUCCUGCAUGAUUUCCUUUGUUAGAAAACAAAACCUGUCGAUUUCUUUCUUGAGACCCACGUUCCUGCCUUACUCAAAUACUUUAAUUGUCUUGCAUUUUUAGAAAGACUUUUUCUCAUCCCCCUAAAGCAUUUCAUUGCUGACAGAAAGGCUGACAAGGCAGCUGACAUGGUGGCUAUUACUUUGAGCAGUUUCUAAACAAUAUCAUUUUGCUGCCCUUCUGCUUUCAGUGAAAUUAUAGGGUGCAUUCUUUUUUGAGGAACAAUGGAGCUCAGUUCCCACACCAGGGGUCCUGAACAAAUUCCAUACCAACCUCCUGAGCUUCAGAAUUAAUGCAAUUAUCACUGAAGAUGUCACUUCAGGCACUAGUAACAUCACUACAUUGGUUCAUCUUGCCAUAACAGAGGAAGAAGGAAUGGAGGAGUGAAGCUAUAAACACACACAAAUACACUUAUAUGUGGAUAUAUGUGUGUGUGUUCAUAUCUAUGUAUGUAUAAAAUAUCCUACUAAUUUGAAAUGCAUCCUGAGUAAAUAAGAGCAAUAUUUAUAGAAAUGCAUGGUGACAGAUCAGCUGUGAAUCUGAACUGGGGGCUGAUAAAUUCUCAUUACCUUCGUCUACCUGACAAAUGAAAUGACCUGCUAAACAGCUGUUGAAAAUUCAAUCAGAUACCUGCAAAUAGCAAGCAUCCCAUGUGACAUGUGGAGAAGGUUGGUGAACAUUCUUGGAUUGGAAUCACACAGAAUAAGGAAUAAAAGAGAAGUUUCAUCUAUCCCUUGCA
Molecule: long non-coding RNA, 1248 nt
Filed under: Marmota marmota marmota (Alpine marmot)
Lineage: Eukaryota; Metazoa; Chordata; Mammalia; Rodentia; Sciuridae
Description: lncRNA (ENSMMMG00000007161.1)
Source: RNAcentral